Phrynosoma platyrhinos (Desert horned lizard) is the source of this 71-nucleotide non-coding RNA. The record is from the annotation of a GenBank genome assembly. Lineage: Eukaryota; Metazoa; Chordata; Lepidosauria; Squamata; Phrynosomatidae.
GCCAGCAUGACAUAGUGGUUAGAGCAUUGGACUAGGCCUCUGGAGACCAGGGUUCGAAUCCCAGUUUGGCC